ACCAAUGUGUUCUAGUAAUAUGAAUUUUUUGGGCUAGUAUUCCAAAAGUCGUAGGUUCGAAUCCCACCGUGGCUG
Molecule: non-coding RNA, 75 nt
Organism: Paramuricea clavata
Lineage: Eukaryota; Metazoa; Cnidaria; Anthozoa; Malacalcyonacea; Plexauridae
Source: the annotation of a GenBank genome assembly